RNA transcript from Mobula hypostoma (lesser devil ray), 9175 nucleotides. RefSeq lists it as uncharacterized. The record is from RefSeq and is a predicted model, not a curated record. NCBI's taxonomy places the organism in Eukaryota, Metazoa, Chordata, Chondrichthyes, Myliobatiformes, Myliobatidae. The transcript is spliced from 4 exons.
AGACUUACUACAAUGCAUCUCACCCCACUACCACAAGCAAUGUUCUGCUUAAAAUAUCUGUACUGUCACUGUCUGUUCAAUCCCACACGCUUUUUACAAGGAACAUUUUGUUUAUUCUUCAUUUUCCCAAAAACCUUAAUAUUGUCAUCAAGUUUUGUCUCAGUACCUCUCUCAGUCAUUCGACAGACUGCCGAAAAGCUGUUCGGGAUAUUCCUCUUAGGGAAAAAAGUAUCAUUCACAAUUUUCAGGUACUUCAGUAGGAUCGAAAAAUUCUGACCAGAACCUCCACAAAAGCCACCCUUACGUAUUCAUGUUACAAGCCACCAGGAGCAUAGGACAAAGUGAUUUUCAUACUUUCAGCAGGUACUGAGUUAAGUACCUCCAGCAGUUUGUAAAUCUAUCUGGCAUUAUUACUUUUCCAUCCUGUCCUACUUUUUGAUGAUCUGAAAUCAAAGGAAUUUGGAGGAAAUGCUGGAAAUUUGGUAUGAAAAUGUUGGAAGUGGCUAUUAUCUGAUUUGUUAAACACUUACAUUAAGGCCCAAAGGUUGUAAUGUGCCUUGCUGGAUGAUUGUGUGCUCUCAUUGGGCUCAGUUCAAAUAGUUUAGAACGGGCAGGCAGUGUGAAACUGACUGGGGCAAGUGACAACAAUCAGAAGUAUAGGGAUUACAUGAACAGAAAUAAUAUUUAAAACAGCAACUUGCUCCAUAAGAGGUGAAAUACCACAUCUAAGGUAGCACAUUUAAAUUACUGGUUCAUGCAGGAAGUGCUGGGGGAUCGAGAUGGUGAGCAGACAGGAGAUAGAAGCAGAGAUUCUGUAGUUACACGGGAUGCUAUGUUAUAUACCCCUAGGGUUCAUAUUUUCUGUGCACUGUCACUUUAAAAUGUUGGGAGAAUGAGACUGACUUUUGGACACUGUUUGGGGGGGGAGGGGGGAGGGAGAUGGAGUUAUUUGAUGGAAAAUAAUGCUAUGGUUUCUCUGCAGCUUGUUUUGAAUAUACAAGGACACACAGACACACACAGUUAGAGUCAAGAUGGAUUCGGUCAAUGGAAGACACCAGUGAGUCGGUCGCUGGUUUAAACUUUCAGCAGCCCAGAAGGGGUAAAGGAAGCCCAGGAACCAACAGCAGACACCAUGACAUCGAGCCAGGAGAUCACGUCGUGGUGCGGACAUUUAAAAGAAAGAACUGCUGGAACCUUGAUUUGAAGGACCCUUUCAGGGAAUUCUGGUCACUAAUACAGCCAUCAAGAUUCCAAGAAGCGAGCACAUACUCGGAUGGACCCUACGCGAAGAAACUUAGUGGCAGGGAGCAAGCCGACGUUCGACUCCAUUUUGCCCAUUAAAACAUCGAGGAAGAUCGAGACAUCUAUGCAUGUGUGAAAGGCAAGCGCGAGUUCAGCGCUGAACAGCUCCUUUUGUUCGCUGCCAGAGAAGGAACCUGCAAACUGUGCGGCUCGCUGUGGCAGAGACAAUUCUACUCCAAGAACAUCGGGUACUGCAGGGCACUUCAGUGAACCUACUGGUGCGGUGGAGCAGACCAGGUCGCUGCCUGCUACUCGGAAGCAUCGGAGUUGGUGCAGUAUAACCGCAGGAAAUUGUCUCGGACAUCUCACUUGCGAUCACAACACUCUGUUGGAUAGUGAUAAUGUAAGCUGCCACAGGCCCGUUACCCUUCUCUGGCGAAGGAACAGUCAACAUGGAAGCUGCGUAACCUCAGUUGUAGCAAGAACUAGGCUUUAAGCCUUGGGCUUACCUGCUGCUGCAGACCAAGGGAGAGACGCAGUGACACUAGAGUGGUUGAGCUCGGCUGGAGCCUGGCCUCGCCCCGUGUUGCCCUCCCACGUUUGAGUGGUGCAUUGCCAAUAUGCUACUUUGCUGACACUUCGAAUUAUGUCACUUAUUAUUUUUGAGUGUUUGCUUGCUCUAUUGAAUGUUUGCAACUUGGCUCUACAGGAACGCUGUCUUGUUCAGCUACAUCUAUGUAUGGUUUGAACGACAAUUAAACUUGAUUUGUUUAAAUCUAUAGUUGUACUGUGGAGAGCAUUCUGACAGGCUGCAUCACUGUCUGGUCUGGAGGGGCUACUGCACAGGACCGAAAGAAGCUGCAGAGGGUGUGAAUUGGGAUGAUGUUUUUGCAGGGAAAUGUACUAUGGACAUGUGAUCGAUGUUUAGGGAUCUCUUGCAGGAUGUUAGGGAUAAAUUUGUCCUGGUGAGGAAGAUAAAGAAUGGUAGGGUGAAGGGACCAUGGGUGACAAGUGAGGUGGAAAAUCUAGUCAGGUGGAAGAAGGCAACAUACAUGAGGUUUAGGAAGCAAGGAUCAGAUGGGUUUACUGAGGAAUACAGGGAAGCAAGAAAGGAGCUUAAGAAGGGGUGAGGACAGCAAGAAAGGGGGCAUGAGAAGGCCUUGGCGAGUAGGGUAAAGGAAAACCCCAAGGCAUUCUUCAAUUAUGUGAAGAACAAAAAGAUGACAGGAGUGAAGGUAGGACCGAUUAGAGAUAAAGGUGAGAAGAUGUGCCUGGAGGCUGUGGAAGUGAGCGAGGUCCUCAAUGAAUACUUCUCUUUGGUAUUCACCAAUGAGAGGGAACUUGAUGAUGGUGAGGACAAUAUGAGUGAGGUUGAUGUUCUGGAGCAUGUUGAUAUUAAGGGAGAGGAGGUGUUGGAAUUGUUAAAAUACAUUAGGACAGAUAAGUCCCCGGGGCCUGACGGAAUAUUCCCCAGGCUGCUCCAUGAGGCGAGGGAAGAGAUUGCUGACCCUCUGGCUAGGAUCUUUAUGUCCCCGUUGUCCACGGGAAUGGUACCGGAGGAUUGGAGGGAGGUGAAUGUUGUCCCCUUGUUCAAAAAAAGGUAGUAGGAAUAGUCCGGGUAAUUAUAGACCAGUGAGCCUUAUGUCUGUGGUGGGAAAGCUGUUCGAAAAGAUUCUUAGAGAUAGGAACUAUGGGCAUUUACAGAAUCAUGGUCUGAACAGGGACAGUCAGCAUGGCUUUUUGAAGGGCAGAUCAUGUACAACAAGCCUGAUAAAGUUCUUUGAGGAGGUGAGCAGGUAUAUAGAUGAGGGUAGUGCAGUGGAUGUGAUCUACAUGGAUUUUAGUAAGGCAUUUGACAAGGUUCCACACGGUAGGCCUAUUCAGAAAGUCAGGAGGCAUGGGAUCCAGGCGGAUUCAGAAUUGGCUUGCCUGCAGAAGGCAAAGGGUCGAGGUGGAGGGAGUACAUUCAGUUUGGAGCAUUGUGACUAGUGGUGUCCCACAAGGAUCUGUUCUGGGACCUCUACUUUUCGUGAUUUUUAUUAAUGACCUGGAUGUGCGGGUAGAAGGGUGGGUAGCAAGUUUGCAGAUGACACAAAGGUUGGUGGUGUUGUGGAUAGUGUAGAGGAUUGUCAAAGAUUGCAGAGAGACAUUGAUAAGAUGCAGAAGUGGGCUGAGAAGUGGCAAAUGGAGUUCAACCCGGAGAAGUGUGAGGUGGUACACUUUGGAAGGACAAACUCCAAAGCAGAGUACAAAGUAAAUGGCAGGAUACUUGGUAGUGUGGAGGAGCAGAGGAAUCUGGGGGUACAUGUCCACAGAUCUCUGAAAGUUGCCUCACAGGUAGAUAGGGUAGUUAAGAAAGCUUAUGGAUGUUAGCUUUCAUAAGUCAAGGGAUAGAGUUUAAGAGUCGCGAGGUAAUGAUGCAGCUCUAUAAAACUCUGGUUAGGACACACUUGGAGUACUGUGUCCAGUUUUGGUCGCCUCACUAUAGGAAGGAUGUGGAAGCAUUAGAAAGGGUACAGAGGAGAUUUACCAGGAUGCUGCCUGGUUUAGAGAGUAUGCAUUAUGAUCAGAGAUUAAGGGAGCUAGGGCUUUACUCUUUGGAGAGAAAGAGGAUGAGAGGAGACAGGAUAAAGGUAUACAAGAUAUUAAGAGGAAUAGAUAGAGUGGACAGCCAGCGCCUCUUCCCCAGGGCACCACUGCUCAAUACAAGAGGACAUGGCUUUAAGGUAAGGGGUGGGAAGUUUAAGGGGGAUAUUAGAGGAAGCUUUUUUUACUCAGAGUGGUUGGUGCGUGGAAUGCACUGCCUGAGUCAGUGGUGGAGGCAGAUACACUAGUGAAGUUUAAGAGACUACUAGACAAGUACAUGGAGGAAUUUAAGGUGGGGGGUUAUAUGGGAAGCAGGGUUUGAGGGUCAGCACAACAUUGUGGGCCAAAGGGCCUGUACUGUGCUGUACUAUUCUAUGUUCCAUGUUUAAAUCUAGUCAGCUCCACCUUGGGUACCAGCCUACAAAGUACCCAGGACAUCUUCAGGGAGUGGUGUCUCAGAAAGUCAGCGUCCAUUAUUAAGGACCUCCAGCACCCAGGGCAUGCCUUUUUCCUCACGGUUACCAUCAGGUAGGAGGUACAGAUGCCUGAAGACACAAACUCAGUGAUUAAGGAACAGCUUCUUCCCCUCCGCCAUCCAAUUCCUAAAUGGACAUUGAAUCUUUGGACAAUACCUCACUUUUUAAAAAAAGUAUUUAUGUUUUUCACGUUUUUAAAAAUCUUCAAUAUAUGUAAUUGAUUUAGUUGUUUAUUUUUUUUCCCCCCUCUCUGCUGGAUUACGUAUUGCAUCGACCCAUUGAUGCUAAGUUUAAAAAAUUUCACGUCAUGUGCUAGUGAUAAUAAACCUGAUUCCGAUUCGAUUUGAAAUACUCCUACAAAGUAACUUUUCUUCAAUGAAAAGGCCUUUAAACUGGGGGGGGGGGGGCAAAAAUGUGAAACAGAUUCUGAUCUGUGGAUUCUAAACAUCAGAAUCAGCUAACAUGAAGGAACAUAUAGAGCUGCAGAUCCAACUAGUCACACAAAGCUUCAAAACACUGAAAUACAAUAACUGCCCAUGCACAGGGCCCCCAGGUGUUCUGCUCAAAUACCGUUGUACAGAACACAUUGUUAUUUUUAAAAAGAGAACUUAACCUAUAGGCCAUUCCCAAUCGCUGCCCUGGUAAUAAAUUAUUGGCAAAUUUCCAGAAUGAAAACAGGUAAUUUCCAAAAUCAGUUGCUAGAAAACUAGUCACAGAUUUCUCACCAAACAAGUGAUACUGUACAGGUCAGAACAAGCACUGAUGACACCAAGCACCAGGUUAUGCAACAGGCACAGAAAAGCACACACUCAAACCUGGUACAGCACACUUUAUCCAAUUCCUGAUCUACAACCCUCUCAGGGAUACUUGCACUCGAUAACAUUUUCGUAUUUCAUUACUAAUAGUAGUGUCAAAAGUCAAGCCGAUAAAAUGACUGCUACAGACCUAUAGGUGUCAAAGUAGUUGUUGUGUCACAUUUAGUGUGGUAGCGUUUGUCGCUCUCACUUUCAGAUUUCACUGCCAGCUAGCAGUGUAAGUCUCUCCCUGCCAGUACAUAGCCUCUCCAACAAAAAUCCUCAUGUAGUGCCUCCUCUGGGAGGGAGGAGGAGAUGGCGGUGCGACGCAGCGCGCACAGCCAUUCCGAAUGAAUAUCGUAUUGUGAAGUGGGAUGCCGUGCACAAUCUGGAUUUGAUGGAGACAGCCCUGAGAAGCACGGAGGAAGAUCUGAAAAAACUUCUGAAAUGCCUGCUUCACUGCCGCUGCUACUGUACGAUCAAGAAUCUCCGGAGACGAAGGCCCCAAAUCCUCGGCUUUGUGUAUCGCCUAUUGCCGGGGCCGAAGCACUCGGCAGAGAUGGUGCUUGGUGUUGAAGAGGUGGUCAGAGGCUCAGAGUUUUCGGACGGACUUGGAGUUGGACUGUGGUCGGAUAGUUCCAGGAUGCUGCAUCGGCAAGUUGGAGGCGCUGGAGAUUUACUGUCUGCGUGAGAUGAUGGGACUUUCGAGAGACUUUGAGACUUUUACUGUGCCAUGGUCUGUUCUUAUCAAAUUACAGCAUUGCUUUGCACUGUUGUAACUAUAUGUUAUAAUUAUGUAGUUUUUGUUAGUUUUUAAGUCGGUUUAUCAUGGGUUUUCGUGACAUCAUUCUGCAAAAACAUUUUUAUCAUUUCUUAAUGCAUGCAUUACUACAUGACAAUAAAAGGGGACUGCGUGUCUUCAUAAUCUAAUCCAAUCCUCACUGGUGAUACAGAAACUGAACUCCUUUCAGACUCAGGCAGUACUACAGAGGACAGGGAGGAAACCUGGCCCCUGCUCACAUAGCACGUAGGCCCACCUGUGUGUGGACACGCUCUGGUGCUCGUGAACAAGAUCCAAGAUCCCCAGCUACAGGUAAAUAGCCCCACUGCCUGUGGACAGCCUUGGGAGAGACAAUGGCUUCGGGAGUAAACCCAUUCAGUAAAUCCGGACUGGAGUCCCUAAGGCUGCUGGAUGUUACUCAACAUCCUUCUGGCAGCUUCUGCAGCCAAGCUGGUGCCAAAUGUAUUGCUUCAUAAGCUUUCCUUUGGACUACACUGGUGAGGUCAAGAGGGGGAUCUUGACAACUGGGAAUCUCAGGAUCUUCACAGCUUCCACCCAGGCUUAUGGUGGUGGUGGUGAUCAUCACCCAUUAUCCUUCGAGACAAAUGGAUGCCAACCGACAAACCUAUAACCAGAGCUGGGAUUGAUUCUGAAGUGAUGAAUUAAGAUCACAGAGACAGCAUAUGCAAUCACAAAAGAAAAGCAACAUUGAUGCUAGUGCCUGAAUGGUACUAUAGCGUAGGGCAGCACAGCAUAAAGCACAAUGCUUUACACCACCAGCUGCAUAAUCACAGUUCAAUAUGCACUGCUGCCUAUACAAACUUUGUACAUCGUCCUGUAACUUCAGAUUUCCUCUGGGCACUCCAGUAUCCUCACGUAUUACAAGGAUGUACGAGUUAGGGUUAGUAAGUUGUGAACAGGUUAGGUUGGCACCGGAAGCGUAGUAAAACUUGCGUGCUGCCCCCAGCACAGACUGUGCUGGUCAUCAAUGCAAACGACACAUUUCACUGUAUGUUUUGAUGUUCAUAUGGUAAAUAAAUACUUUCCCUCCUACGCAGUUCUCUACUACUGCAUCAGAUCACUAGCACAUAUGCUUUUGACUGCCAAAGCCAACUCUAGACUAAAUGGAACAACCUUUUUGCCAGUCUCCCCAAACCUUCUGUACCACUCAUUAAAUAAAUGCAAGUGCCAAUUGUGCACUGUUAACUGACAAUAUUUAUCUCAUUAAGACCACAGUUCAAUUUAUGGUUUAAAAUUAAGGACCACAUUGAAGGAACCUCAUUUAUAUCAAGUCUGAUCAUAUUCAGAGUUCCAAAGCCCUCCAUAUAAUCAAAAUUGGCAUACUCAACUGUGUACAGCAUGACCCACAAACACCACACAGGAAGACCUAAAGGUUAUUUAUUUGUGGUAUUUAUAGACAUUGACAAGCUCAAAUUUCACACAUCUCCACCCUGACUGUGGCCAUAAAUAUGACAAUCCUAAUGCAUACCUGAUUAAGUGCAAAACACUUCAAUAAUCACAUAGAAUAGUACUAAAGAUACCAUGCUGUGCUAGAUAAAGCAGAGCCUAGCCAAUAUGACCCAACCCACAUGAUUCAUCAGAGUGCACACCCAGUAUUCAUGGUUGGGUGCUGCCAAGCUUUGGUCGGAUGUACCUUGAACACAAUUUUCACAGUGCUACUCAACUAUACAGACUGGAUUUAUACACCAGUGAUUUCUGAGGUCUGGUAGGUUAACUACAUUGUACUGUGGUACAACAGUAGCCAGCAAUUUACCACCGUCUUUAAGGGCAAGUAGAGAUUAGCAAUACAUGGUCUUGUACAUGUACAGUUGCAAGAAAAAGUUUGUGAACACUUUGCAAUUACCUGGUUGUCUGCAUUACUCAAAAUGUAGUCUUAUCUUCAUCUAAGUCACAAUCUUCCUAAAUUAAUAACACACAAACAAUUGUUUAUUGAAUACAUUUUUAAAUUAUUUACAGUCCAUGCUGGGAAAAGUGUGAGAUCCCCUGGUAGAACCUCCUUUAGCAGCAAUAACUUCAACCGAGCAUUUGCUGUAAUUGCUCAUCAGACUUGUACAACAGCAAGGAAAAAUUUUUAGACCAUUCCUCCAUAUAAAACUGUUUCAGUUCAUCAAUAUUUCUGGGGUACCCUGUGGAACAUCCCUCUUCGGGUCAGGCCACAACAUCUCAAUUGGGUUAAGGUCCGGACUUUGACUUGGCCAUUCCAAAGCACAAAUUCUCUUAUUUUAAACAGAACUGUUGUUGAUUUACUCGAGUUUCUGAUCAACAAAGCAGCCCCAAACCAAGAUGCUCCUUCCACCAUGCUUCACAAUUGGUGUGGGGUUUUGAUGCUGGUGUGUAGUGCCCCUUUUCCUCCAAACACAGUGGUGCCAAAGAAUUCCAACUUUUGUCUCAUCUUUCCACAGAACACUGUCCCAGAAGCAUUGUGGAACAUACAGGUGUUUUUUUUUUUGCAAACUUCAAAAAAAUUUGUUUGUGCCUGAAGAGCAGAGUAGCAGUUUCCUCCAUGGUAUCCUCGCAUGAACACCAUUCUUCUUCAAUGUUUUUCUUAGUGGAAGCAUGAACAGAGACUUUAACAACUAGAGAUUUCCGCAGGUCUUUCGCUGUUACCCUUGGGUUCUUUUUCAGCUCCUUCACCAUUGCACAUUGUGCUCCUGGUGUGAGAUCCUUGCAGGAUGCCCACUCCUUGGGAGAGUAGCAACAGUACUGAAUUUCCUCCAUUUGUAGACAAUUUCUCUUAUUGUGGAUGGGUCUUCAGAAACGGUUUUGUAGCCUUUUCCAGCUUCAUGCUUCUCUACAAUUUUUCAAUCUAAGGUCCUCUGAAAGUUGUUUUGAUCUAGGCAUAGUGCACACAAACAAACAGAUUUUUCUUGAGAAGAGCAGGUUCUGUCAGCAACCUUUUAAAAAAAAUCAGGCAGGGCCCUUCUGCAACCCAACCUCAUCUCAUUGAUUGGAAUAUCCAGCUCCAAAUAGCUUUUGUAGAAGGCAUUACCCCAGAUGUUCACAUACUUUUUUUUUGAACCAAGACUGUGAUUGUUUAAAAGGUGUACUCAGUAUUGACGAGAAGCAGAGUUGUUUGUAUGUUAUUAGUUUAGGUAGAUUGUAUUCAUCUAUUAUUGUGACUUAGAUGAAGAUCAAAUUCAGAAUCGGAUUUAUUAUCACCAGCAUGUGUCACGAAAUUUGUUAACUUAGCAGCAGCAGUUCAAUGCAAUACAUAAUAUUGAAACAAUAAAAUAAUAAUAAAUCAAUUACAGUAUACAUAUAUUGAAUAGAUUAAA